RNAcentral lists this ribosomal RNA (229 nucleotides) under uncultured bacterium. RNAcentral's name for it is "partial 16S ribosomal RNA". It matches the Rfam family "Bacterial small subunit ribosomal RNA", at positions 103 to 334 of the family's 1533-position model. The record is from RNAcentral.
CGGGUGAGUAAUGUAUGGGGAUCUGCCUGAUGGGCGGGGGAUAACUACUGGAAACGGUAGCUAAUACCGCAUAAUGUCUGCGGACCAAAGCGGGGGACCUCCGGGCCUCGCGCCAUCAGAUGAACCCAUAUGGGAUUAGCUAGUAGGUAAGGUAACGGCUUACCUAGGCGACGAUCCCUAGCUGGUCUGAGAGGAUGAUCAGCCACACUGGGACUGAGACACGGCCCAG